CAUGUACUCCCUCCGUCCGAAAAAGCUUGUCUCUAAAAUGGAUGUAUCUAGCACCAAGUUAGUGCUAGAUACAUCCAUUUGAGGAACAAGCUUGGGACAAGCUUUUUCGGACAGAGGGAGUAUGUA
Molecule: non-coding RNA, 126 nt
Organism: Triticum aestivum (bread wheat)
Lineage: Eukaryota; Viridiplantae; Streptophyta; Magnoliopsida; Poales; Poaceae
Source: Rfam